UAUGAGAGCUGUCUGAAUACCCAGC
RNAcentral lists this non-coding RNA (25 nucleotides) under Rattus norvegicus (Norway rat). The record is from RNAcentral. Lineage: Eukaryota; Metazoa; Chordata; Mammalia; Rodentia; Muridae.